RNAcentral lists this transfer RNA (72 nucleotides) under Ictidomys tridecemlineatus (thirteen-lined ground squirrel). RNAcentral's name for it is "Spermophilus tridecemlineatus (thirteen-lined ground squirrel) tRNA". It matches the Rfam family "tRNA". From Rfam's summary of the family: Transfer RNA (tRNA) molecules are approximately 80 nucleotides in length. Their secondary structure includes four short double-helical elements and three loops (D, anti-codon, and T loops). Lineage: Eukaryota; Metazoa; Chordata; Mammalia; Rodentia; Sciuridae. The record is from Rfam by way of RNAcentral.
GGGGGUGUAGCCCAGUGGGAGAGCACUUGCAUAGUAUGCAGAAUGCCCUGGGUUCAAUCCCUAGUACCAUCA